Molecule: ribosomal RNA, 503 nt
Filed under: uncultured bacterium
Lineage: Bacteria
Description: partial 16S ribosomal RNA
Rfam family: Bacterial small subunit ribosomal RNA
Source: RNAcentral
AUUGAACGCUGGCGGCAGGCUUAACACAUGCAAGUCGAGCGGGGUGAUGGUGCUUGCACUAUCACUUAGCGGCGGACGGGUGAGUAAUGCUUAGGAAUCUGCCUAUUAGUGGGGGACAACAUCUCGAAAGGGAUGCUAAUACCGCAUACGUCCUACGGGAGAAAGCAGGGGAUCACUUGUGACCUUGCGCUAAUAGAUGAGCCUAAGUCGGAUUAGCUAGUUGGUGGGGUAAAGGCCUACCAAGGCGACGAUCUGUAGCGGGUCUGAGAGGAUGAUCCGCCACACUGGGACUGAGACACGGCCCAGACUCCUACGGGAGGCAGCAGUGGGGAAUAUUGGACAAUGGGGGGAACCCUGAUCCAGCCAUGCGGCGUGUGUGAAGAAGGCCUUAUGGUUGUAAAGCACUUUAAGCGAGGAGGAGGCUCUUUUGGUUAAUACCCAAGAUGAGUGGACGUUACUCGCGGAAUAAGCACCGGCUAACUCUGUGCCAGCCGCCGCAGUAA